Molecule: ribosomal RNA, 1248 nt
Filed under: Triticum aestivum (bread wheat)
Lineage: Eukaryota; Viridiplantae; Streptophyta; Magnoliopsida; Poales; Poaceae
Description: partial small subunit ribosomal RNA
Source: RNAcentral
AUGACGGAAAAAGCAAUGGAAGUGGUAGGAUCAGCAGUUGCUCAGGAGAUUGUGAGUAGAGGCUUCUCCUUCGUGCUCAGCAGCCCGGAGAAGGUGUCCCAGGAGGACCUCAUUGAGAGGCUGGAGAUGGCGCACAUAAAACUGGAUGGGGCGCUCGAGAGGUCCAGGAUGAUGCCCAUCACCAUCAUGGCAUCACUUCGCCUAAGGAAGAAGUUGAAGGAUGUCUUCAAGGAGUGUGCUGAUCUGCUCGGCAAGGCGAGGGAUCGUCAGAAUGUGAUACCCUCUUUACGUAGAAAGGUAAUGCAUGCUGUGCUGCCCUCUUUCAUUGUCCCAAAUCAAGAUGUGCUGAGUAGCUCUGCUGUUCGAAAAUUUGAGCUGUAUGCCAACGAAGCCGAGAAGUUUGUCAGGGACCUGGAGUCCGGAUGUUCACUUUCUCACUACAGGUUUCUCAAUCCACUCAUCCGGCAUCUUCUUGAAGGAAAGAAUCUCUCCUAUCACAUGGUGCAAGGAAGCCAAACAUGUGGUCUUUCGAUAUGGACGGCUUCUGUGGAAGAGUAUGGUAGAGUCGCAAGGCUAGAUUUCGAUUACAAAGAUCGCAGGGCGCCACUUAGAAAUUUUCACCUAACGUUGGCUCUAAGACUAUAUGAAAGCACAGACAUACUUGGAGUUACCGCAAAAUGUUUGCAGUCACUUGGACCUCGAUUCAAGUCUUUGGCUGACGUUGCAACAGGAGAACUGACUCAAGUAUGUACACAAGAUGUUUCAUAUUACGAUCCAGUAUGUUCAGUAAUUUGGAGAAAUGUAGUUGGAUUGACUACAGGUUGGAGUCCAGACCCAUUUUGUUGCAUAGAAAAUGGGCCGACCAAGCCUUGUGCUAACAAUAUCAACUCGUCCGAGUUAACAGGCAGAUUCCCACAAGAAGUUAUGUUCGUUUCUUUUGACUGCCGUUUUUCAGCUUCUGAUUGCUCGCGGAGCUCAAAUGAUGAAGCUCAUAUAAACACCAUAAAAGCAUGGCCACCUCUAGAGAUGGCAGUUUCCUUUGCACCUCAUCUCCCAGAUAAACACCAGCGUGGGAGUAGCUUACACCAAUCAGAGGAGGAAAUACAAACAAAGGCGAUCAAUUGUUUCAUCCGUCACCCUGAGCGGACGGAAUUCCGUAUGUUUUGGGGCUCGGCACAUGGAUAUGCAAUCUUUCAUGUUCAGAAGCCGGUCACUAAAGCAAGGAGAGCAUCAAAGAGAAGGCGUUAG